UUGGUGUCCUGUCUGCUGGGGUUAAGGUAUUUAAAAGACUCCUUCUCCCCAGCUUCACCAGUAGAGUAUACCAACCUUUCAAAGGUUUCCUCGAGAACAGUAUUCUUCAGAUAAUCCUCCAGAGAAGAUAAGAUCUUCAUGAGGAACUCAGCACAGUCACCUUCGUUGUUAAUAUUCUUUUUCCAAACCUUGCAAAAGUUACUCAUACACUGCGAUAUCUCAUCUUCUCCUACCUGGUUAAGCAAGGCAGUUAACAUGAGCUGAAGAGCUAGAAUCUUAUCACUGGCGAAUGAGGACUCUGUAGGUAUAGCAAGAAUCAGGUCAUGAUAGCUUUUCACAUUAGAUGAGAUAUCGCAGUGUAUGGGUACCUAAUUUUUGGAAAAGGCGUUUUUCACACUAAAAUUUGAAACUACCUAAUUUUAAAGUUGUUUUUAUUCAGGCAAACUGUUGGAUGUGCUUCUACCUUGUUACUGGGCUACUAUACAAUUCAAAUCACGGGACAGAAUUUUUUAUGUUUCAAUUUUUUCUUAAACUUUAUUAUUUUAAAAUUUUGUAACGUUUCAUAACUAAGAAAUCCUAUUUGUACACUUGGUUUUUAACCACCAAAACUUAAGGAUGAACAUUUUUAGGUAAUUUCUUCAAAGUUUGGUUUUAAAAGAGGUUAUUUCUAAUCAUUUCAAUGAAACGUAAUUUGCCAGCUACUUAAUUCAAACUAAAAACUGGGGGUGAAUGUAUAGUAGUAUCCCGUCUACGGACCUAUGAUAAAGAAUACUUCUAAGGUCGAUCUAUCCAUUUAAUUUGGUAGUGUACUAUACUUUUCAUAAGUAAUGUACUAAUUAUUUCAGUUAAUAACCAGACUAAGGGAGCUAUCUUGCAGUACUCAUUAAGUGGAAAUGAAUUGAUUUAGAAAACCUACAAAUUGAAGUUGAACAACGAGAAGAAAAGAAAUUUAAUUGAAUUAAAUUUCAGAACUCAAAUGGAUAAAAUCUGUAAGUUCUACCAAAACGGGAGAUGCUGGCGAGAUAAAGCAUGUAGAUUUAGACAUGUCCUGAUGGCAAAAAACGAACCUAAGGAAAGAAGAACUAGAUCUCCUGAUAGAUCUGAUUAUCAAAAGAGCUAAAUAGACCAGGAGUACGUCAGUUCCAGAUUAAGGACUGGGUCUAAAGAUAGAAGAAGAGAAAUGGAAAAUCCUAAGCAAAAAACUGACUCAAGAUUGAGGCGUGAAUAUUCGACAUUCCAGAACCUAAGGAAUGAAUCUAGACAUUAUAAUCAAGACAAGAAUGCAAAGAAGUAAGAAAAAACGAGUUUAAUCAAUCCUUAGGCUUUAAUAUUUAAUAACUAGGAACUUAGGAAAUUAGUUGAAUAUACUUCAAUGGAAUACUUCAAUGACGAAUAUUUCAAUUGAAUUACUUGAUAUUUUUGGGGUUUUUAAAAAUUUUUUUUGGAAAAUAAAGUCAAAGAAGAACAAGUAAUUAAACCUGAUUAUUCAAAUUCUUCUAA
Eurytemora carolleeae is the source of this 1500-nucleotide long non-coding RNA. RefSeq lists it as uncharacterized. Lineage: Eukaryota; Metazoa; Arthropoda; Copepoda; Calanoida; Temoridae. The transcript has 3 exons. The record is from RefSeq and is a predicted model, not a curated record.